This 199-nucleotide long non-coding RNA is filed under the name Panax ginseng (ginseng). RNAcentral describes it as "long non-coding RNA (PGIN_LNC002814)". The record is from RNAcentral. Lineage: Eukaryota; Viridiplantae; Streptophyta; Magnoliopsida; Apiales; Araliaceae.
AUAAAAUAAGCAAAACUUCAUAAAAAUCACCUUAAUAAUUUUAACAAUAUUUAUCACCUUUAUUAUAAUUCACAAUAAUAAUCGACCAGGUCGUUCCCAAGAAAGAGGGGGCUUUUUAAUAAGAAUUUCUCCCUAUUGGCGCGCAAUUAGGUGACCAAACCUCUCAUUGACAGAACUUCUAGACAUCGUUAAUAUUACA